RNAcentral lists this ribosomal RNA (450 nucleotides) under uncultured bacterium. RNAcentral describes it as "partial 16S ribosomal RNA". It matches the Rfam family "Bacterial small subunit ribosomal RNA", at positions 354 to 796 of the family's 1533-position model. The record is from RNAcentral.
GUGGGGAAUAUUGGACAAUGGGCGAAAGCCUGAUCCAGCCAUGCCGCGUGUGUGAAGAAGGUCUUCGGAUUGUAAAGCACUUUAAGUUGGGAGGAAGGGCAGUAAGUUAAUACCUUGCUGUUUUGACGUUACCGACAGAAUAAGCACCGGCUAACUUCGUGCCAGCAGCCGCGGUAAUACGAAGGGUGCAAGCGUUAAUCGGAAUUACUGGGCGUAAAGCGCGCGUAGGUGGUUUUGUAAGUUGGAGGUGAAUUCCCCGGGCUCAACCUGGGAACUGCCUCCAAAACUGCAUGACUAGAGUACGGUAGAGGGUAGUGGAAUUUCCUGUGUAGCGGUGAAAUGCGUAGAUAUAGGAAGGAACACCAGUGGCGAAGGCGACUACCUGGACUGAUACUGACACUGAGGUGCGAAAGCGUGGGGAGCAAACAGGAUUAGAAACCCGUGUAGUCC